RNAcentral lists this ribosomal RNA (566 nucleotides) under Salmonella enterica subsp. enterica serovar Hadar. RNAcentral describes it as "partial 23S ribosomal RNA". It matches the Rfam family "Bacterial large subunit ribosomal RNA", at positions 1 to 597 of the family's 2925-position model. The record is from RNAcentral. Lineage: Bacteria; Pseudomonadati; Pseudomonadota; Gammaproteobacteria; Enterobacterales; Enterobacteriaceae.
GGGUUGUGAGGUUAAGCGACUAAGCGUACACGGUGGAUGCCCUGGCAGUCAGAGGCGAUGAAGGACGUGCUAAUCUGCGAUAAGCGCCGGUAAGGUGAUAUGAACCGUUAUAACCGGCGAUUUCCGAAUGGGGAAACCCAGUGUGAUUCGUCACACUAUCAUUAACUGAAUCCAUAGGUUAAUGAGGCGAACCGGGGGAACUGAAACAUCUAAGUACCCCGAGGAAAAGAAAUCAACCGAGAUUCCCCCAGUAGCGGCGAGCGAACGGGGAGGAGCCCAGAGCCUGAAUCAGCAUGUGUGUUAGUGGAAGCGUCUGGAAAGGCGCGCGAUACAGGGUGACAGCCCCGUACACAAAAGCGCAUGUGCUGUGAGCUCGAUGAGUAGGGCGGGACACGUGGUAUCCUGUCUGAAUAUGGGGGGACCAUCCUCCAAGGCUAAAUACUCCUGACUGACCGAUAGUGAACCAGUACCGUGAGGGAAAGGCGAAAAGAACCCCGGCGAGGGGAGUGAAAAAGAACCUGAAACCGUGUACGUACAAGCAGUGGGAGCACCCUUUGGGGUGUGAC